GUAAUCUUUGUGAGGGUGAGGAAUUUUCAGGGUACUAUGGAAGCCCCUAAAACAACUUGGGGAGUCAGAAAUGGCUUCCAGGGAGAACUGCUAUUUGAGACAAAACCUAAAGAAUAACAAGGGUUGGCUGGGCCAUAAGGAUGGGGCGAAGAUGUCAGGUAGAGGUGCAGGAGGAGGUAUCUUGCUCUAGUUCAAGAGCAGAUAUUUGAGAGAGCUUGUUAAAGGACAGGCUGGAGAGUGAAGGGAGAGCUUACAAGCCAUUUCUCAGAGUUUAGCCUUCACACCAUCCCUGUAUUGGCAAACAGCAAUGGCAAGUAUUAAAUCAUGGGGAGAUUAGGCACAGACAACACAUCGAUAAAACCAAACCAGGUUUACUUACCUGAAUAAGGAAGAAACUCAAAAUACAGAGAUAACUGUAUUAUCCAAGACCAAGAUACAAGCUUCUGGCCACUGAAUUCUGCAUGAGAGGGUACACAGCUAAAAGUGAAAACAUGAAUGAGUAAAGGUCACACCAGACCCUCUGGAGACCUGAUUUUCUCCCCCAUUUUUAGCCUACCACAGAGGGUCUCAUUUAAUUCUUUCAGCAACAUAAGCUCCACAUGUCUAUACCCACCAGUGGAAGGCAGUCAGUUUGACCAGCCCUAGUGAAGCCUUCAGACGUUCCCUGCUGAUUCUGCACUGCCCUGAGAGACCCAAGGGACCGUCCGUACGAUACCUUUCAAGUUUCCUUUAAGGGCAUAUACAGCUCUGUAAUGAACAUCUUCAGCUUCUUCAGAACAUUUCUCACAGGAUGAGCCAAGGACCAAAAGAAAUCAGACCACAGUCUCAUUUUCUAGUAAGAAAAUCCUCUGAUAGAAUCAUGGCCAGUGGUUGAGAUAAAUUAUAGAAGCUUGAUGUAUGUCAUCAAAGCAGUCUUUGCUUCAUUAAAACACAAUAAUGGUCCCUUAAAAAUAGGAUUGUGUUAAUAAAUUGAUGCAUGAACAAUUUCCAGGAGCAUAUCUUAAAGUGAAACUCACCUCAAAUAUUUGUCUAAGGAGAAGCAAACUAGUGGCUGUGGUAAAACUGGUUAACCAGUUCUACUUAAAGUCCUCUCUUGUAUUAAGUCCCUUUGCCUGGGACUCUAUUUCCCUGUUAUAUUUCUGCCCCAGACCUAUCAGAUCACCUUUCUUAUUUUCCAGGCAUUUGGAAACUAUCUUUUUCAAUCACUUUUCUUUUGUUCAAUGUGGUGUGCGUCAUAAAAAUAAAGGAGAGGGUCUCCAUAGAUAGACUGUAAUUGUGAACAGUUUCAAAGAAGUUUUAAAUAACUCCCUGAUUCUUAGAAUCAAUUUAAAAUAAGCGAUGUUGUAUGGGCAUGAGUGCUUCUUGGGGAGAUUGGUAAUGCUCCCUCGGCUAGCAGUGGAGUAGCUGAGCUAACAAGGAGUUCCUGGUGCCAGGUGGGUCUUUGCACACUGAAUUCGUGUCUGUAGGGAGAAGCAGCUGCCGCUCAGAUCUGAACUGGGAAGAGAUGACUUUAACCUUGGGCAAUAACUAGAGUUCUGAAUGGCAGCUGCUCUGCAAGAUUGAGGAAAUAACAGAGGUUCUCAGGCAGCAUAAUUGGAUACCAGCAUAAGUUGUUGUUUUGUUUUUUUUUUAAGAGAGGGAGAGAGAAAAAAAGGUAUGGAAAAGAGAGGAAGAGGAAGGAGAAGAAAAAGGAGAAAAAUGGUCAGUCUUCGUUAAAUGCCUCUCUAGAAAUAGGCGGAGGUCGAACUCUCCAUGGGUGGUUUGCAUGGAUGCAGCAGAGGUGACUCACGUUUGCCGAUCUUAAGAGCUGUACAGAUGGCUGGGAGUGGCCGAUUAAAACCUCCUUGACAACUCCUCGGAGACUGAAGACCACCCACCUCCAUCUUCACUGGGAGCAAAUGGACUGUAGAGUGAGCAACAUGGUUUCUGACCUGAUCCUCAGGCCAGGGGGUAAACAAAGGCAGCUUGACCUUUUGCUAAACAGAGUGUCCGGGAAAAUAAUCCUCAGCUUGUUUUGAAUGCACGCUGGACAGAGAAUUACUGGUAAUUUUGUGAACCGGUAGGUCUCUGCACUGCAAUAAGAAGCCACCGUAACUGGGUCCUCGUGGUGUGACUGAUUCAUUUUCAGUCUACCCAGACUGUCCUGGUUUUAAAAUGGAAAAUCCUACAACCUGGGAAUCCCCUUAGUUCACUGCAAACCAACAAUUGGUCAUCUUUGCUCUCCUCACAAAGAGUAAGAUGCAAGGCCAAAUUUUGGCUUGAAUGCUGUUCCAGGUUCUCCACAGUUGGUGAAAAAUCAUUGAAUGAGAAAAUGUGCAGGAUGAAAGGGAUAUUAGUAACUACCUGAUCCAGUAGUUCUCAAACUUCAGUGUGUAUCAGAACCCCCUGGGCUGCUUAUUGAAAAUGUAAAUGUCUGGGUUCUAUUGCAAAAAUCUGAUUCCAUCCAUAUGUCUUAGGUAGGGUCCCAAAUUCUGCAAUUUUAUAAGCACCUUAGAUGACUCUGAUUAUACAUGGUCCAAGGACCUAUGUUUGGAAAGCAGGGAUUUAAUUACAGCUCAUUUUAUGGAUAAGAAGUCUAUGUUGCCUGAAGCCACACAAUACGCAACUGCAACCUGGUCUAAAAUAAAGCCUCAAAUAUGCACUCCACUCCUGG
RNAcentral lists this long non-coding RNA (2653 nucleotides) under Homo sapiens (human). RNAcentral describes it as "HSALNT0018369". Lineage: Eukaryota; Metazoa; Chordata; Mammalia; Primates; Hominidae. The record is from RNAcentral.